AUUAUGGCAAUUUUGAGUUUGAUAAUGUCGCUGUCACUAUGCGCCGUCGUCAAGUUUCUGUUUGAAUUUGCUUCCAUAUUCGGUAUUUCCGCAUUUAUUUUAUGUGUUGUGUUCUAGUUUGUUCAAGACUCAAAAACCUAACUUUCAUUAAAGAUUUAUUAGGAUUUUGAGAUGCCUUGCUGUAUUGAGAGAGGAACAGAUAAAUGCUAGGCUAUGCUAUCAUUGAGUUUCCAGAUGGUAUUUAACUUGUACUGAAACUUUGGGUUUGUGAUGAUGCCUGUGGCCGAACUAUGCGAAUCAACUUUUAAACAUGAACAAAACAAUAGCUGCUUACAGGACACAGAUUCGUAAUGGCUCAAUGUGAUCCGUGCCUGAAGAUAUGUGACUGUGUGAAGAAGGCGAGGGACAGGGACGGAGUGUUCUACGCGCUGUGCUGCAAGUGUACGGAAAAACAUCAAUAUUUCCGGCGAUUCUCUGGCAAACGGAGGAUCGCGUAUGCCGAUUGCGAGCACAACGCAAGGCCGGACGGGCGGAGUGUGUUUCUCUGCCGUUACGACCCACGCCACGUCGUACAAUACAACAUCGGUGCACACGAGGUUCCGUUGCUCGUCAAAUAAAUCGAACAACGCUCCGUCCUCGCCUCGUCCCGCCUAUCGUCGCGAGCCACUUCAUGAGUGUUGGGAUGAGGUCUGCGAAGACACCGGCCACGAUCACAGCCGGCGAUAGACAGCUCCCGUAUAUGAUUAGGGUUGUUUAAUUUCUCCAGUUCUUACUAAGCAUUUUUGUAGUUUUAGCUUUUGUUUUUUAAUAAAUAAUGUUUUUUGACAAGAUAAAUGUGUGCUUUUUCCAACUAGAACCAUGACAAAAGUCUGUGAUCACGGUGAUCAGAACUGUACUCCUUUGGCACGUUGUUAGGUUAAAAAAAUUAUAUUUACGUUAUAAAAUAUGAACACUUGGUUUAAUUCACAUAAAUAAAUCUGUAUUUAUUUUACAGUUUCGAUGACUCGGUGUGAUCCGUGUCUGAAUGAGGCAGAUCAGAUACUAUGUUGUUUAUUAGCCAUAACUGUCAAAUUACUACAUUGAAAAUUGUUUUAGUCUCUGUUACUGGUUUAUUUGGAUUAGGCAUGAGAUACUAAUCUAUUUCUUUUUCACGCUUAAAUUUUUGUUUAGAACGUAUAUUGAAUAUAGGUACGGUAUUGUGGAGUUUUACUGGAUUAAGUAAUUGACACAUACAAUUCUGUAUUCCUAUUAUUUGGGUUAGGUAUGAGAUACUAAUCUAUUUUUUUUUCACGGUUGAAUUUUGGUUUAAAACUAUAUUGAAUAUAGUUACGGUAUUGUGGAGUUUUACUGGAUUAAGUAAUUGACAUAUACAAUUCUGUAUUCCUAUUAUUUGGGUUAGGUAUGAGAUACUAAUCUAUUUUUUUUUCACGGUUGAAUUUUGGUUUAAAACUAUAUUGAAUAUAGUUACGGUAUUGUGGAGUUUUACUGGAUUAAGUAAUUGACAUAUACAAUUCUGUAUUCCUAUUAUUUGGGUUAGGUAUGAGAUACUAAUCUAUUUUUUUUCACGGUUGAAUUUUGGUUUAAAACUAUAUUGAAUAUAGUUACGGUAUUGUGGAGUUUUACUGGAUUAAGUAAUUGACAUAUACAAUUCUGUAUUCCUUUUACAGUUUCAAUGACUCAGUGUGAUCCGUGCUUGAAGAUUUGUGACUGCGUGAAGAAGGUGAGGGACUGGGACGGAGAGUUCUAUGCGCUGUGGUGCAAGUAUGCUGCAAAACACCCUUAUUUCUGGCGAUUCUCUGGCAAACGGAGGAUCGCGUAUACCGAUUGCGAGCACAGCGCAAGACCGGACAAUCGAACAACGCUCCGUCCUCGCCUCGUCCCGCCCAUCGUCGUGAGCCACUUCCUGAGUGUUGGGAUAAGGACUGUGAAGACGUCGGCCACGAUCACAGCCGGCGAUAGACAGCUCCCGUAUAUGAUUAGGGUUGUUUAAUUUCAUAAGUUCCUACUAAGCAUUUUUGUUGUUUUAGCUUUUGUUUUUUUAAUAAAUAAUGUUUUUUGACAA
RNAcentral lists this unclassified non-coding RNA (2062 nucleotides) under Homalodisca vitripennis (glassy-winged sharpshooter). RNAcentral describes it as "uncharacterized LOC124360255, transcript variant X1". The record is from RNAcentral. Lineage: Eukaryota; Metazoa; Arthropoda; Insecta; Hemiptera; Cicadellidae.